GGGACCUGCACAGAUUCUUUGCUCCUUGCUCACCCCAAGCCUGUACUCUUGGGAAGUUCCUAUCAUUGUUCUAUCCACUGCUUUCUCCAUGCAUUAGGCGUUCCCUGUAAAAUCUAGUAUUGUCUUUUUGUUAUGUGCUCUGCCCUGUGUUUCAUCCCUACUACCUGCUCUUUGCAGCUCCCCUAUCAGCUGUGAAUCCUCUGUCAUCAAUAAUCCACUACUUUAACUGGCUUAGAGUUUCCUUCUUUCUCUCUCCCUGUCCCGGUCAGAUGCCAGAUUAGAGCCAGCAGAAGCCUGCUACUAUCCCUGUUGUAUGCAUUAAUCUUCUUACAAGUGUGGUCUGUUCUGUAUUUAACCUCUCCGCUCUGCAUAGCCAGGUUUAUCUGAAAUUGCUCAAGCCACUAAUCCCAGACUACCACUCGGUCUGUUCUUCUCCCAACAAGCAUUGAUGCUGUAGGGAUUUGAAUGAUUUGUUUGGUGCUGUGAAGCCAAAAUCCAUCAGGGUGAUUCAAAUUCACCAGCAAGAUAUGUAAUAGACCAUCUCUCCCCAUAUGGAGUAUAUCUCCUUCUAGUCAUGAUGGCAUCUGAUCCCUGUGGUAACUGUGAUAAAGCAAUUAUUAUCACAGGUAAAGAGCAGUUGGAAAGUAUUUGGUGUGUUUCUCUUACUGCAAUUUAACAGCUGGAGACAAGCGAGGGGAGUGGGAACUCAUCUCUCUGCAGUUUCAGCAGCAGUGACCAGUGGAGCACAAUUUGGAAGUUGUCCUUCUGAGCACCUAGAGCAGGACAGACGCCAACAAAGUCAGUGGAAAAGCAGUCAUUCAGACUUUGUCAGGGUUUGAGUCAGAUCCCUGGCUUCAGCAGCGAAGAUUUGUAUUUAUGUAGUUUGCUACAUCACAAUAUGGUGUCUCAAAAUGUCUGCUACCACUCACUUUUAAAGCGUACAUAUAGCACAUACAGUCUUGUCACAGCUGACACCUUUUUUUGAUUUUGCUACGUGAGAGUACUCUGUUGCUGAUGAAUCAAGCUGUUUUCAAGAUUAGU
Molecule: long non-coding RNA, 1041 nt
Organism: Oxyura jamaicensis (ruddy duck)
Lineage: Eukaryota; Metazoa; Chordata; Aves; Anseriformes; Anatidae
Exons: 3
Source: RefSeq, a predicted model, not a curated record